Molecule: ribosomal RNA, 1425 nt
Filed under: uncultured organism
Description: partial small subunit ribosomal RNA
Rfam family: Bacterial small subunit ribosomal RNA
Source: RNAcentral
GCUUACACAUGCAAGUCGAACGGAAAGGCCCUGCUUUUGUGGGGUGCUCGAGUGGCGAACGGGUGAGUAACACGUGAGUAACCUGCCCUUGACUUUGGGAUAACUUCAGGAAACUGGGGCUAAUACCGGAUAGGAGCUCCUGCUGCAUGGUGGGGGUUGGAAAGUUUCGGCGGUUGGGGAUGGACUCGCGGCUUAUCAGCUUGUUGGUGGGGUAGUGGCUUACCAAGGCUUUGACGGGUAGCCGGCCUGAGAGGGUGACCGGCCACAUUGGGACUGAGAUACGGCCCAGACUCCUACGGGAGGCAGCAGUGGGGAAUAUUGCACAAUGGGCGGAAGCCUGAUGCAGCAACGCCGCGUGCGGGAUGACGGCCUUCGGGUUGUAAACCGCUUUCGCCUGUGACGAAGCGUGAGUGACGGUAAUGGGUAAAGAAGCACCGGCUAACUACGUGCCAGCAGCCGCGGUGAUACGUAGGGUGCGAGCGUUGUCCGGAUUUAUUGGGCGUAAAGGGCUCGUAGGUGGUUGAUCGCGUCGGAAGUGUAAUCUUGGGGCUUAACCCUGAGCGUGCUUUCGAUACGGGUUGACUUGAGGAAGGUAGGGGAGAAUGGAAUUCCUGGUGGAGCGGUGGAAUGCGCAGAUAUCAGGAGGAACACCAGUGGCGAAGGCGGUUCUCUGGGCCUUUCCUGACGCUGAGGAGCGAAAGCGUGGGGAGCGAACAGGCUUAGAUACCCUGGUAGUCCACGCUGUAAACGGUGGGUACUAGGUGUGGGGUCCAUUCCACGGGUUCCGUGCCGUAGCUAACGCUUUAAGUACCCCGCCUGGGGAGUACGGCCGCAAGGCUAAAACUCAAAGGAAUUGACGGGGCCCCGCACAAGCGGCGGAGCAUGCGGAUUAAUUCGAUGCAACGCGUAGAACCUUACCUGGGUUUGACAUGGAUCGGGAGUGCUCAGAGAUGGGUGUGCCUCUUUUGGGGUCGGUUCACAGGUGGUGCAUGGCUGUCGUCAGCUCGUGUCGUGAGAUGUUGGGUUAAGUCCCGCAACGAGCGCAACCCUUGUUCACUGUUGCCAGCACGUUAUGGUGGGGACUCAGUGGAGACCGCCGGGGUCAACUCGGAGGAAGGUGGGGAUGACGUCAAGUCAUCAUGCCCCUUAUGUCCAGGGCUUCACGCAUGCUACAAUGGCUGGUACAGAGAGUGGCGAGCCUGUGAGGGUGAGCGAAUCUCGGAAAGCCGGUCUCAGUUCGGAUUGGGGUCUGCAACUCGACCUCAUGAAGUCGGAGUCGCUAGUAAUCGCAGAUCAGCAACGCUGCGGUGAAUACGUUCCCGGGGCUUGUACACACCGCUCGUCAAGUCAUGAAAGUUGGUAACACCCGAAGCCGGUGGCCUAACCGUUGUGGGGGAGCCGUCGAAGGUGGGACUGGUGAUUAGG